Equus quagga is the source of this 492-nucleotide long non-coding RNA. RefSeq lists it as uncharacterized. NCBI's taxonomy places the organism in Eukaryota, Metazoa, Chordata, Mammalia, Perissodactyla, Equidae. The transcript is spliced from 3 exons. The record is from RefSeq and is a predicted model, not a curated record.
UCAAGUUCAGGAGAAGCACCAUGCGUUUAAAUAAUAUAGGCCUAAGAGUUGUAACAUCUUAACCCACAUUGAGGUGUCAGAACUGUUAAAAGAUAAACUGAGGCAUAUUAAAAAUUUUAAGAGUGGACGUGAGCAGAAAUCGACUUGGAUCAGGCCAUGCUGAGAGGGCGAUGGCUAGGAGCGCACCACCGCCCGGAGCCGAGGAGAGAGUUUCAUAGAGAAGAUGCAGAAGCAAAGUAACGAAACUAUUCCAUUGGCUGCAGAUCAGCCAGAAGGACCUAGAGGGUGGAGGAGCUGUCUUUCUCCCCCACAGCACAUGUUUGGAAUUCAGUGGUGGGGAUCAGCUCUGAUAAACCAGGAAUCGCUGGUCAUGUUCAGCAAACACUUGAAUGCUGACAAAAGAGAAGUUUAAAUUGAUGGCAUUUCUACCUAAUUCGUUCAUCAAAUAUUUAUUGAGGAACUGUGCCUCAGGCACUGUUCUAGGUACUGAAA